This 403-nucleotide unclassified non-coding RNA is filed under the name soil metagenome. Its description in RNAcentral is "partial contains 5.8S ribosomal RNA, internal transcribed spacer 2, and large subunit ribosomal RNA". The stretch from base 1 to 121 matches the Rfam family "5.8S ribosomal RNA", at positions 35 to 154 of the family's 154-position model. The record is from RNAcentral.
GAUGAAGAACGCAGCGAAAUGCGAUAAGUAAUGUGAAUUGCAGAAUUCAGUGAAUCAUCGAAUCUUUGAACGCACCUUGCGCCCUUUGGCCAUUCCGAAGGGCAUGCCUGUUUGAGUAUCAUGAACACCUCAACUCUCAUGGCUUGCCAUGAUGAGCUUGGACUUUGGGGGUCUUGCUGGCCUGUGGUCAGCUCCUCUCAAAUGAAUUAGCUUUCCAGUGUUUGGUUGGCAUCACAGGUGUGAUAACUAUCUACGCUUGUGGUUUCCACCAGGUAACCUUCAGUAACAUGGGGGUUUGCUGGAGCUCAUAAAUGUCUCUCCUCAGUGGGGACAGCUCUUUGAACGUUUGAUCUCAAUCAGGUAGGACUACCCGCUGAACUUAAGCAUAUCAAUAAGCGGAGGA